CAAGNCGAACGGUAACAGGUCUUCGGACGCUGACGAGUGGCGAACGGGUGAUGUAAUGCAUCGGAACGUGCCCAGUCGUGGGGGAUAACUGCUCGAAAGAGCAGCUAAUACCGCAUACGACCUGAGGGUGAAAGCGGGGGACCGUAAGGCCUCGCGCGAUUGGAGCGGCCGAUGUCAGAUUAGCUAGUUGGUGGGGUAAAGGCCUACCAAGGCAACGAUCUGUAGUUGGUCUGAGAGGACGACCAGCCACACUGGGACUGAGACACGGCCCAGACUCCUACGGGAGGCAGCAGUGGGGAAUUUUGGACAAUGGGCGCAAGCCUGAUCCAGCAAUGCCGCGUGCAGGAAGAAGGCCUUCGGGUUGUAAACUGCUUUUGUCAGGGAAGAAAUCUUCUGGGCUAAUACCCCGGGAGGAUGACGGUACCUGAAGAAUAAGCACCGGCUAACUACGUGCCAGCAGCCGCGGUAAUACGUAGGGUGCGAGCGUUAAUCGGAAUUACUGG
Molecule: ribosomal RNA, 503 nt
Filed under: uncultured bacterium
Lineage: Bacteria
Description: bacterial SSU rRNA
Rfam family: Bacterial small subunit ribosomal RNA
Source: RNAcentral